GGUCCCACCUCAGAGACACAGAAGAGGCUCUCUGGAGGGAGGUUUGGGAUAUUUCAAACAUUAGCUUCUGUGGGAGUUGCUUUAUUUCUGGAUUUGUUAUGCUUGGUUUGUCUUGCUGCUUUUAAAUAUUUGUACAAGUGACUAGAGCUAUGCAAACUGUGCCUGAAGGAAUUGUGAAACAGAGGAGAAGAAUUAACUGGAGGUACCAAAACUGAUUUAUAAAAUAUGUGAGAACCUUUGAAUGCCUGUGCAGAUAUGGACAAUCUGGCCUCUGUCCCAUAACCUACAAGGAAUUACAACACUGAAGAGUAUUUGUUUAAAUUUCUGCCUUGUGGCAGGCUCCUGGGCCAUGAAGGUCAACGAGGUCGCUGUCAUGGCCUGAUAACAAAGCUUAAUUACCCUCAGCACUGAAACCUUUCCAAAAGUCUGUGAUGCCUAUGAAGAUGCAUGGCUGUAAUGGCUCUUCUGGAGGUUAAUCUGCAGAGAUCCUGUGUGUGCACCUGGUGAUGAGUGAUUUGUCACCGUGCCCAUUUCACUGUGACCUCCUCUCCCUCUGCUUGGCCUUGACCCCCACAGCGUGUGAUGGGGAGGGACAGCCUCCUCCAAGCCACCUGCUCCUGCCUCCACCCUGGGUGCUACAGGAAAAAUAAAAAUAAAAAAUGAAA
Molecule: long non-coding RNA, 665 nt
Organism: Prinia subflava (tawny-flanked prinia)
Lineage: Eukaryota; Metazoa; Chordata; Aves; Passeriformes; Cisticolidae
Exons: 4
Source: RefSeq, a predicted model, not a curated record